RNAcentral lists this ribosomal RNA (955 nucleotides) under Priestia flexa. RNAcentral's name for it is "bacterial SSU rRNA". It matches the Rfam family "Bacterial small subunit ribosomal RNA", at positions 15 to 954 of the family's 1533-position model. The record is from RNAcentral. Lineage: Bacteria; Bacillati; Bacillota; Bacilli; Caryophanales; Bacillaceae.
GAUCCUGGCUCAGGAUGAACGCUGGCGGCGUGCCUAAUACAUGCAAGUCGAGCGAACUGAUUAGAAGCUUGCUUCUAUGACGUUAGCGGCGGACGUGAGUAACACGUGGGCAACCUGCCUGUAAGACUGGGAUAACUCCGGGAAACCGGAGCUAAUACCGGAUAACAUUUUCUCUUGCAUAAGAGAAAAUUGAAAGAUGGUUUCGGCUAUCACUUACAGAUGGGCCCGCGGAGCAUUAGCUAGUUGGUGAGGUAACGGCUCACCAAGGCAACGAUGCAUAGCCGACCUGAGAGGGUGAUCGGCCACACUGGGACUGAGACACGGCCCAGACUCCUACGGGAGGCAGCAGUAGGGAAUCUUCCGCAAUGGACGAAAGUCUGACGGAGCAACGCCGCGUGAGUGAUGAAGGCUUUCGGGUCGUAAAACUCUGUUGUUAGGGAAGAACAAGUACAAGAGUAACUGCUUGUACCUUGACGGUACCUAACCAGAAAGCCACGGCUAACUACGUGCCAGCAGCCGCGGUAAUACGUAGGUGGCAAGCGUUAUCCGGAAUUAUUGGGCGUAAAGCGCGCGCAGGCGGUUUCUUAAGUCUGAUGUGAAAGCCCACGGCUCAACCGUGGAGGGUCAUUGGAAACUGGGGAACUUGAGUGCAGAAGAGAAAAGCGGAAUUCCACGUGUAGCGGUGAAAUGCGUAGAGAUGUGGAGGAACACCAGUGGCGAAGGCGGCUUUUUGGUCUGUAACUGACGCUGAGGCGCGAAAGCGUGGGGAGCAAACAGGAUUAGACCCUGGUAGUCCACGCCGUAAACGAUGAGUGCUAAGUGUUAGAGGGUUUCCGCCCUUUAGUGCUGCAGCUAACGCAUUAAGCACUCCGCCUGGGGAGUACGGUCGCAAGACUGAAACUCAAAGGAAUUGACGGGGGCCCGCACAAGCGGUGGAGCAUGUGGUUUAAUUCGA